AGCAUUGAUACACCGGUUCUCGUUUGAUCACCGAAGUUAAGCAACGUCGUGUCUGAUCAGUACCUUGAUGGGUAACUCCUUGGGAACACUAGGUGCUGUAA
This is a non-coding RNA of Acanthosepion pharaonis, 101 nucleotides long. The record is from the annotation of a GenBank genome assembly. Lineage: Eukaryota; Metazoa; Mollusca; Cephalopoda; Sepiida; Sepiidae.